UGAACGCUGGCGGCGUGCCUAAUACAUGCAAGUCGAGCGAACAGACGAGGAGCUUGCUCCUCUGACGUUAGCGGCGGACGGGUGAGUAACACGUGGAUAACCUACCUAUAAGACUGGGAUAACUUCGGGAAACCGGAGCUAAUACCGGAUAAUAUAUUGAACCGCAUGGUUCAAUAGUGAAAGACGGUUUUGCUGUCACUUAUAGAUGGAUCCGCGCCGCAUUAGCUAGUUGGUAAGGUAACGGCUUACCAAGGCAACGAUGCGUAGCCGACCUGAGAGGAUGAUCGGCCACACUGGAACUGAGACACGGUCCAGACUCCUACGGGAGGCAGCAGUAGGGAAUCUUCCGCAAUGGGCGAAAGCCUGACGGAGCAACGCCGCGUGAGUGAUGAAGGUCUUCGGAUCGUAAAACUCUGUUAUUAGGGAAGAACAAAUGUGUAAGUAACUAUGCACGUCUUGACGGUACCUAAUCAGAAAGCCACGGCUAACUACGUG
This 495-nucleotide ribosomal RNA is filed under the name uncultured bacterium. RNAcentral describes it as "partial 16S ribosomal RNA". It matches the Rfam family "Bacterial small subunit ribosomal RNA", at positions 30 to 507 of the family's 1533-position model. The record is from RNAcentral.